RNAcentral lists this ribosomal RNA (478 nucleotides) under uncultured bacterium. Its description in RNAcentral is "partial 16S ribosomal RNA". It matches the Rfam family "Bacterial small subunit ribosomal RNA", at positions 28 to 523 of the family's 1533-position model. The record is from RNAcentral.
GACGAACGCUGGCGGCGUGCUUAACACAUGCAAGUCGAACGGUAAGGCCCUUCGGGGUACACGAGUGGCGAACGGGUGAGUAACACGUGGGUGAUCUGCCCUGCACUUCGGGAUAAGCCUGGGAAACUGGGUCUAAUACCGGAUAGGACCACUGCCCGCAUGGGUGGUGGUGGAAAGCUUUUGCGGUGUGGGAUGGGCCCGCGGCCUAUCAGCUUGUUGGUGGGGUGAUGGCCUACCAAGGCGACGACGGGUAGCCGGCCUGAGAGGGUGACCGGCCACACUGGGACUGAGAUACGGCCCAGACUCCUACGGGAGGCAGCAGUGGGGAAUGUUGCACAAUGGGCGCAAGCCUGAUGCAGCGACGCCGCGUGAGGGAUGACGGCCUUCGGGUUGUAAACCUCUUUCAGCACCGACGAAGCGCAAGUGACGGUAGGUGCAGAAGAAGGACCGGCCAACUACGUGCCAGCAGCCGCGGUAA